UUAUGGCCGAUUGCCUUAAGUUGAUCAUGGCUCGGACGAACGCUGGCGGCGUGCUUAACACAUGCAAGUGGAGCGACGAACCAGGGCUUGCCCUGGGGCAGAGCCGCGAACGGGUGAGUAACACGUGGGUAACCCACCCCGAUGAUUGGGACAACCCGAGGAAACUCGGGCUAAUACCAAAUGUGCUCUUCAGCCAUGAGGCAGUUGAGUAAAGAUAGCUUCGGCCUUCGCAUCGGGACGGGCCCGCGGCCCAUUAGCUUGUUGGUGAGGUAACGGCUCACCAAGGCGACGAUGGGUAGCUGGUCUGAGAGGACGAUCAGCCACACUGGGACUGAGACACGGCCCAGACUCCUACGGGAGGCAGCAGUGGGGAAUCUUGCGCAAUGCGCGAAAGCGUGACGCAGCAACGCCGCGUGGGGGAAGAAGGCCUUCGGGUUGUAAACCCCUUUCAGUUGGGACGAAGCUCCGUCGGUGAAUAGCCGGCUGGAGUGACGGUACCUUCACAAGAAGCCCCGGCUAACUACGUGCCAGCAGCCGCGGUAAUACGUAGGGGGCUAGCGUUGUCCGGAAUCAUUGGGCGUAAAGAGCGUGUAGGCGGCCCGGUAAGUCCGCUGUGAAAGUCGGGGGCUCAACCCUCGAAUGCCGGUGGAUACUGUCGGGCUAGAGUGCGGAAGAGGCGAGUGGAAUUCCUGGUGUAGCGGUGAAAUGCGCAGAUAUCAGGAGGAACACCGAUUGCGAAGGCAGCUCGCUGGGACGUAACUGACGCUGAGACGCGAAAGCGUGGGGAA
Molecule: ribosomal RNA, 788 nt
Filed under: uncultured bacterium
Lineage: Bacteria
Description: bacterial SSU rRNA
Rfam family: Bacterial small subunit ribosomal RNA
Source: RNAcentral